RNAcentral lists this ribosomal RNA (239 nucleotides) under uncultured bacterium. Its description in RNAcentral is "partial 16S ribosomal RNA". It matches the Rfam family "Bacterial small subunit ribosomal RNA", at positions 95 to 334 of the family's 1533-position model. The record is from RNAcentral.
GUGGCGGACGGGUGAGUAACGCGUGGGUAACCUGCCUCAUACAGGGGGAUAACGGUUAGAAAUGACUGCUAAUACCGCAUAAGCGCACAGUACCACAUGGUACGGUGUGAAAAACUCCGGUGGUAUGAGAUGGACCCGCGUCUGAUUAGCUAGUUGGUGGGGUAACGGCCCACCAAGGCGACGAUCAGUAGCCGACCUGAGAGGGUGACCGGCCACAUUGGGACUGAGACACGGCCCAG